Molecule: ribosomal RNA, 253 nt
Filed under: uncultured bacterium
Lineage: Bacteria
Description: partial 16S ribosomal RNA
Rfam family: Bacterial small subunit ribosomal RNA
Source: RNAcentral
UACAGAGGUGGCAAGCGUUGUUCGGAAUUACUGGGCGUAAAGGGCGAGUAGGUGGCCAUCUAAGUCAGACGUGAAAUCCCUCGGCUUAACCGGGGAACUGCGUCUGAUACUGGAUGGCUUGAAUCCGGGAGAGGGAUGCGGAAUUCCAGGUGUAGCGGUGAAAUGCGUAGAUAUCUGGAGGAACACCGGUGGCGAAGGCGGCAUCCUGGACCGGCAUUGACGCUGAGGAGCGAAAGCCAGGGGAGCAAACGGG